Molecule: long non-coding RNA, 5474 nt
Filed under: Olea europaea (common olive)
Lineage: Eukaryota; Viridiplantae; Streptophyta; Magnoliopsida; Lamiales; Oleaceae
Description: long non-coding RNA (OEUR_LNC010549)
Source: RNAcentral
CACUUUAGGGUUAAACAAAAACCCCAGGGAAAAGGUGUAUAUCCACUUUUUGCCUAAGAUUCAAUUGCUUUAUAAAUAACUACAAAGCAAGGUAGAAUGGCCCUUGGAUUAAAAACAUAUAAUUCCUCGAUAUUUGAGUAAAUUCCAGCACAUCCAGCUACGGAAUCAUAAGAACGAAUAGGUGACAUGCCAAUUCUAUCUUCUUCAAAUGUUGCAUUAUUCACCACUUGCUUGACUCUUCCAGCUAUAACACGACACACAAGCAUUGCCCUUCGCACAUCCCCACUUCCAAGGCAAUCGUGGGCCCUCCCACUACUAGCAGUUGUGUGAACACCACUCACCUUGUUUCCUUGAAAGCCAUGUCGGAUGAUAGUGCACACUCCGCAACCUGGGAAGGACCCGCACAACCUAGUUGACCCACGAGUGCCAAGCGAACAUAUAAGUGUUGUGCAGUAAAACCUUAACAACUCAUUUCCAUCCGCUGCACACCGGGGGUUUUUCUUGGUAUUGCUAUUUGCACGUAUUUUAACUGCGUCUCUACUGUCCUCAAACCGUUGGAUUGUGCGUUGAGUGUUGUGUACUUUUAAUACUCGCUCAAUGUUGCAAACUGAGUUAUCCUUCUUGAGCCAACUUGAUGUGAAGAUAAUCUCCACUAUGUUGCGGCUUGAAUCUUCUUCGCCGAUUUCAGAAACUACAAAGAACCAAAUGAAAAAUAUAAAUGCAAGAAAUACUAAGUUAACAGUAGGAAAAUGCUACUCUUACCGACGAAAGGUAUACUAAUUUUGCAAUUAUUUAUUUGUGUUUCAAUAAUCAACAUAAAUUUACGAAUUUGAAACACAUCUAGGUUAAUUCUUCGGUUAGGCAAUAUUUAUGUAGAUAGAAUAUGUACUAUUAAACCCACUUUAGAACUCUAGACAAAUGCAUUAAUGAUUGACAUUUGGAUUUUUAGUUAGUUUGACAUAGAUGAGAUCGUAUUUGAAGGAAGACAAAAUUGCAACUGAGGCAAUAUGUUGGGGACCAAACUUAAUACCAAAGCAAUACAUCAAGGAUCGAUAGUGAGAUUCUCUGCAUAUAUUAGCUACGUGACGCUGAAAUGUAGAACAUGAACAUGGACCAAACAAAUGAUAGCUACAAUUCCCAGUUUAUAUAAUUUGAUGGGACACAAAAUAAUGCAUUAUUGAUCUAGACAUAGCAGAUGUAACCCCUUCAAAUUAGGACAAAAAAUACAAUGAGGAAAAUGUCAUAUGUACAGGGGUAUUGUUUACAGAAUUUUUACAGAACACUCACAUGAAAUGAGCACCAUGUGAUUAAAAUAUUGUAAAAAAGUAUCACCCCACGCACUCUUCAUGUGUGUGUCCUGUACAGGGCUUGUACAUGUAGCUUUGCCCAUACAAUAAACAUAAGUGUCCUGCCACAGCUAGAAUGACAAAAUAAGUGGCACAAAAAGUCAAAAAAAACAUUGGCCUUGUCCUAUUUUUUAGCUACUUUAUAAUAAUUUAUAUAAUCAUAGAAGACUUUGGGCUAUACACGAAAAAAGGACAGCAAAAAUAAAUACUAACAUGUACCUGCGUGCCUAAUGGCUUGAUGAUGUUCCAAGCUUUCAAUUUUUGGGAACACAUCUCCACAUUCGGAGCAAGCACAUAUAGUUGUUCUUGGCAAUGGAUACCUGCAAAACAAAAUAUUGAUUGGAAUUAAAAUUAAAAUUUUAAUUUAGAUCAAAGUUAAUAAUUAAUUUUAACUACAUAUUUCACAUUAUACACAACUUCUCGAUCGCGCAUUUUAUUAAUUUUUAUCAAAAUUUACUAAAAAUCUUAUUUUAACCUCCCCGAACAGGGCUUAUCACAAUUUGUUUUUCUUUUAGGGCAACAUUUUAUUUAGCAAGAUUUCAAACAUUAUUAAUUAAAUCACGAACAGCAAAGGUUUGGUCAUAAUAUUGUCGAUAAUAUAAAGAAAAGAGUUAUAAUAGGUUGACAAUGAUGAAGUAUUAUAGCCUACUGAUUUAUAAAAAUUGUACACGUCUUUAAUUUUUAUGAAAAUAUUGUCUCGGCUUAAGUAAGUUCAUCAUCUCUAACUUUUUAACUAGGCCGUUGGGUACCUGUUAGGAUCAACAAUCGAGUGACACUCAUAACACCCAGAAAGCUUCCUGAAUUGCAUGCCUCUGGAUGAUCCUGCUAUAUAUGUUGUACCACCGCCACCACUUGAUCUCACUGAACUAGAAAUUGACCUUGAAGAAGAAGAUGACCAAUUACUACUUUUCUUGCUCAAAAGCAUCGUUUCUUGCCCCGGGGAGUUAUCCGCUCUGUGAACGACCCUUGUGUUGCCAUGAACAAUAUCUCCAAAUGGACAAAUAGAACUGCAGGAAGAGCUCAAAAAAGUUGCAGUGUUAUUCUUUGAAGGAUCGUGAAUUUUUGAAUCUUGGAUUUGUUUGCAACUGAGCAAGUUCUUGAUUUGGUUCCAUGAAGAAGAUGACGUCUGGUUAUUCUUCUGGUGCUUUUUCUUCCGCUUGGACAGUUGUUUCUUGGCCACCGCCGCCGCCUGCUCGGGUGGGAAACUGAGGACUGCCAUGAAAUCACAGUUUUUAUUUAAAUACAAAGCUGAAUCCUGAAUGGGAAUUGAAAUUUGUUAAAUUCCGCUGUGCAUGUUUAAGUAAAUUCCCAACAUAAACCAUUGCCCCCUUCUUAUCAUCUUUCCUUGCCAGACCAUUAGCUAAAGCACUGAUAGAAGCUCCACUCACUUCAGCUCGAUGAUAAGGCAAGUGCCAAGGAACGAAAUAUUCCUGCUGGGAUGCACAGUCCUCUUCAGUUUUAGAAGCCAAUGACUGAUCUCCAUCUCCAGAGUUCGAUUGCACAAUUUUAUGUGACACAACAUCUGAAGAUUGGGCAGGAAAAUUGUUUGACUGCUCCCCAGGACCAUUUUCUGCAAUUUCAGGGAUGCUUUCUAGAGCGAAUGUAGAUGAUGCAUUGCGAACUCGAGGGCUACCAGGACCUAUCCACUCCUCUAAAUACUUUUGAGUAAGCGGAGUCCAUUUGUUAAUCAAUAAUCUAUCUUCUUGUUCCCUAGCCCAAACUGUAAUUAGGACAAGGCCACCUGUUUUAACAACACGAAUCAAUUCAUCUACUGCUUUCCUCCUCCUGCUUUCUGUGCUCAGGUGAUGUAACACAGCAAUGGAAAUUGCAGCAUCGCUGUAACCAGUGCGGUAAGGAAGAUUUACAGCAUCAGCAACUAGAAUUUCAUGCCCUUUAUCUGCACAUAUUUUGACAAGCGGAGGACUAAUAUCACAGCCAAUGAAAUAGCAAUCGGAAUUCAAGCCUAAGUAUUUCCCAUUUCCGCAUCCUGCAUCUAAGACGAGCGAUCCUCGAGGCAAAGAGUUUAAGAACAUUUGCACUUUGGGCCACUUUGCAAACCUAGUAGAAUUAAAAUGGGGAGCAAUUGCAUCAUAAACGCGAUGAACAUACUUCUUCUCAAUUUCUGGGGUCGAGUGAACUUCUGAGGAUAGACAUUUUUGUUCAGACCUCAUGGAUAUAGAUGGUAAAACAUGCAAAUCUGCAUCAGAAACAGGGGAACACAAACCAGAGGAAUUAUCUACCCCUAUUCCUUUCAUACCAUACAAUCUUCUCGUAUGAUGACGGACGGAGGUAAAUAUGACAGUCGAGCAAGCCAAGACUCCUUCAAUGCAAAAUGUUCUAGCUCUCACAGCAUCAAGGAUCAUAACAUAAUAACUGGCAAGAUUCUAUAGUAGGAAUACCAAGAAAAAAAUUCAAAUCAGCCAAUACACAAAAGAACGACUAGAAAAAUAUGACAUGCAGCAAAAAAGCACGAAACACAACUAAAUUGAAACAAAAAAGUGCCUGCUUUGGUUUAAGAUAAUCUCUUCUAAUUAAUAAUCAAUAAAAGAAAGUACCAAUAGAUGCCUUUAUCUUGAGGAGAACAAGAACCCAUAAAAGAGAAAUGGAUGCAGAACUGCAGAUUAUCUGCUAAUUCAGAUCAGAGAGCCAAUUCCCUAUCAAGGAACACAUACAGAUUGUUCACAGGUAUAUAUAAUAGCUCCCAACUUAUUUCCACGAAAGAGAGGGGGGAAGGCAAAAGAAGUUCUUUAGUGCAUUUUUUCAUACAUAUUAUGUGCAUAAUCAAAAACUAAUGUUCAUGUCACAACACUAAGCCUAACUACAAUACAGCUUAAUCACAUCAAAUUAUUGAGGGAAAAUUUAAAUCAAGAAAAUAAGAUAUUAUUCAAAUCAGAACCAAAUAUUCGAGUAAUUGAGUUACCUGUGCCGGAGACUUUUCAGCGAACGGAGCUGCAACGGCUGUUAAGGAGCAAUAGGUUAUAGCCUUAUAGGAGUGCGACUUUCCGGUGGGCUUUCUAUAUUGGUCCAUUGGGCUUUUUGAUCUGCGAACGCUCGUAAAGAGGGCCACUGGGCUUUAAGCCCACUACUAGAUCCAUUUGCCGCAAUGCUUAUUACUCAUGGAAACACGGAGUUAUGAUUUAUUUAUUGUACAAAUGUCACCUCCCAACUUUUUCUUCUUUAACAUUUUCAAUAGAAGAAGACCCACCAUCAAUAAUUUUUUCUGUCCUUUCGAAAAUGUUGGAUCGACGUAAAGUUCAGCAACAGCCACAAUUCUCAAAUUUUAUUAUACAAGUAAUAGUAAUUUACUUCAAUUUCGAUUGGAAAUUUGUAUAAAUUAUAUAUUUUGAUCACGAAGGAUUAGAAGGGGGAACUUGGUAAAUUUGUCUUUCAGUAACAACAAAUUAAGCCUCUGUUUGAUGGUAUUAAAUUCUAGAUUUUUAUCAAAAUUAGAGUUAAUAAUUAAUUUUAACUACACAUCUCAUUAAACCCAUCACUUAUCAAUCAUAUAUUUUAUCAACUUUAAUCAAAAUUUAUUAAAAAUUUUAAUUUUAAUCCACUCCAAUCAGGAGCUAAAUAUUUUUACGAGUAGACAACCAUACAAAAAGCAUCAAGUGCAUAUACAAGACUGAAUAAUUCAGCUUUUAGUUUGGCCAACCCCGAAUUAGUCACUUGAUUUGAUACCAGCCACUUUAGGGUUAAACAAAAACCCCAGGGAAAAGGUGUAUAUCCACUUUUUGCCUAAGAUUCAAUUGCUUUAUAAAUAACUACAAAGCAAGGUAGAAUGGCCCUUGGAUUAAAAACAUAUAAUUCCUCGAUAUUUGAGUAAAUUCCAGCACAUCCAGCUACGGAAUCAUAAGAACGAAUAGGUGACAUGCCAAUUCUAUCUUCUUCAAAUGUUGCAUUAUUCACCACUUGCUUGACUCUUCCAGCUAUAACACGACACACAAGCAUUGCCCUUCGCACAUCCCCACUUCCAAGGCAAUCGUGGGCCCUCCCACUACUAGCAGUUGUGUGAACACCACUCACCUUGUUUCCUUGAAAGCCAUGUCGGAUGAUAGUGCACACUCCGCAACCUGGGAAGGACCCGCACAACCUAGUUGACCCACGAGUGCCAAGCGAACAUAUAAG